Molecule: RNA transcript, 609 nt
Organism: Rhinopithecus roxellana (golden snub-nosed monkey)
Lineage: Eukaryota; Metazoa; Chordata; Mammalia; Primates; Cercopithecidae
Gene name: immunoglobulin heavy variable 3-7-like
Exons: 2
Source: RefSeq, a predicted model, not a curated record
UUCUAUUCGGUGAUCAACACUGAACACAGAGGACUCACCAUGGAGUUUGGGCUGAGCUGGGUUUUCCUUGUUGCUGUUUUCAAAGGUGUCCAGUGUGAGGUGUAGCUGGUGGAGUCUGGGGGAGGCUUGGUCCAGCCUGGGGGGUCCCUGAGACUCUCCUGUACGGCCUCUGGAUUCACCUUCAGUAGCACCAAGAUGAAUUGGAUCCGCCAGGCUCCAAGGAAGAGGCUGGAGUGGGUGGCUGACAUAAAGUAUGAUGGAAGUGAGAAAAACUAUGUAGACUCUGUGAAGGGCCGAUUCACCAUCUCCAGAGACAACACCAAGAACUCCCUCUAUCUGCAAAUGAACAGCCUGAGAGCUGAGGACACAGCCGUAUAUCACUGUGUGAGAGACACAGUGAGGGAGGUCAGUGUGAGCCCAGACACAAACCUCCCUGCAGGAGCGUAUGGAACCACCAGGGGGUGCUCAGGAUACACAGAGGACAGGGGCAGCCCCAGGGCAGGUGCAGGGGGAGGUCAAGGGCUGCUCUCCUUCAGGGUCUCUGGCUUCCUCUCAUCUAACAGUUCUCCAGAGGGCCUUGUAUGUUUACAGUUAUAUGCCUACUACUGA